GACGAACGCUGGCGGCGUGCUUAACACAUGCAAGUCGAACGCUGAAGCACCAGCUUGCUGGUGUGGAUGAGUGGCGAACGGGUGAGUAAUACGUGAGUAACCUGCCCUUGACUCUGGGAUAAGCCCGGGAAACUGGGUCUAAUACUGGAUGCUACAUGUCACCGCAUGGUGGUGUGUGGAAAGGGUUUACUGGUCUUGGAUGGGCUCACGGCCUAUCAGCUUGUUGGUGAGGUAAUGGCUCACCAAGGCGACGACGGGUACCCGGCCUGAGAGGGUGACCGGCCACACUUGGACUUGGAAACGGCCCAGACUCCUACGGGAGGCAACAGGGGGGAAGAUUUGACAAAGGGCGAGAGCCUGAUGGAACGACGCCGGGUGAGGGAUGACGGGCUUCGGGGUGGAAACCUGUUUCAGCAUGUAAGAAGCCACAAGUGACGGUACCGGCAGAAGAAGCGCCGGCUAACUACGUG
RNAcentral lists this ribosomal RNA (470 nucleotides) under uncultured bacterium. RNAcentral describes it as "partial 16S ribosomal RNA". It matches the Rfam family "Bacterial small subunit ribosomal RNA", at positions 28 to 507 of the family's 1533-position model. The record is from RNAcentral.